UCACAAUGAUGAGCUUCCACUUCAUGGUCCGUGUUUUUGAACCACAUGAUAUUUAACGAAGUUCUGAGCUU
Small nucleolar RNA from Melanotaenia boesemani (Boeseman's rainbowfish), 71 nucleotides. RefSeq annotates it as small nucleolar RNA SNORD18. The record is from RefSeq and is a predicted model, not a curated record. The transcript has a single exon. Lineage: Eukaryota; Metazoa; Chordata; Actinopteri; Atheriniformes; Melanotaeniidae.